Molecule: non-coding RNA, 105 nt
Organism: Acanthosepion pharaonis
Lineage: Eukaryota; Metazoa; Mollusca; Cephalopoda; Sepiida; Sepiidae
Source: the annotation of a GenBank genome assembly
GACCAUAUCACGUUGAAACACCGGUUCGCGUACGAUCACCGAAGUUAAGCAACAUCGAGCCUGGUCGGUACAUAGAUGGGUUAACAUUUGGGAAUACCAGGUGUU